UUUUGAUAAGAGCAUCCAAUGCAUGGCCACCACAGAACCUGACAAAUGACAACUAGUUCGAGAACCUUAUUGUCCACCACCUCCAUUCUAAGAGCCUUUGUAGAUGCUACUGCCAACAUUGCAAGCUGUUAAUCAAAAAACAUGAUCAUGCAGUUUGGAUUUUACGUAUAGUCAACAUAAUGUCUGAAAGAUAAAACAUCCAAUAUGUAUAAUCAUUAAGCCAGAGUAAUGAUUAGGGGAGAUUAGUGCAAUGCAUUCUGCAUAUAAUUAAUGCAGGUGCAGGACUAACAAUCCUUGAAG
Molecule: long non-coding RNA, 300 nt
Filed under: Carica papaya (papaya)
Lineage: Eukaryota; Viridiplantae; Streptophyta; Magnoliopsida; Brassicales; Caricaceae
Description: long non-coding RNA (CPAP_LNC000997)
Source: RNAcentral